This 337-nucleotide ribosomal RNA is filed under the name Peckolus alpinus. RNAcentral's name for it is "partial 16S ribosomal RNA". Lineage: Eukaryota; Metazoa; Arthropoda; Insecta; Coleoptera; Scarabaeidae. The record is from RNAcentral.
AAAGUCUGACCUGCCCAAUGAAGGAAUUUAAAUGGCUGCGGUAUAAUGACCGUACAAAGGUAGCAUAAUAAUUAGGUUUUUAAUUGAAACCUGGUAUGAAGGGUUGAACGAGAAAAAAGCUGUCUCAAUUAUAAAUUUAAUUAGAAUUUUAUUUUUAAGUUAAAAAGCUUAAAUAAUUUUAAAAGACGAGAAGACCCUAUAGAGUUUUAUAUUAAUUUUUAUUUUAUUUUUUUAGGAUUUUUAUACUUGAAAUAAAGGUAAGUAUUUAGUUGGGGAGAUUAAAAAAUUAAAUUAACUUUUUUAUAAUUAUAACAUUGAUAUAUGAAUAGUUGAUCCA